This 207-nucleotide ribosomal RNA is filed under the name uncultured bacterium. RNAcentral's name for it is "partial 16S ribosomal RNA". It matches the Rfam family "Bacterial small subunit ribosomal RNA", at positions 568 to 774 of the family's 1533-position model. The record is from RNAcentral.
CGCGCAGGCGGCCAUUUAAGUCAGAUGUGAAAGCCCGGGGCUCAACCCCGGAAGAGCAUUUGAUACUGGGUGGCUUGAGUAUGGGAGAGGGAAGUGGAAUUCCUGGUGUAGAGGUGAAAUUCGUAGAUAUCAGGAGGAACACCGGUGGCGAAGGCGACUUCCUGGACCAAUACUGACGCUGAGGCGCGAAGGCGUGGGGAGCAAACA